CCCGGAUGUUAGCGGCGGACGGGUGAGUAACACGUGGGUAACCUGCCUGUAAGACUGGGAUAACUCCGGGAAACCGGAGCUAAUACCGGAUAGUUCCUUGAACCGCAUGGUUCAAGGAUGAAAGACGGUUUCGGCUGUCACUUACAGAUGGACCCGCGGCGCAUUAGCUAGUUGGUGGGGUAAUGGCUCACCAAGGCGACGAUGCGUAGCCGACCUGAGAGGGUGAUCGGCCACACUGGGACUGAGACACGGCCCAGACUCCUACGGGAGGCAGCAGUAGGGAAUCUUCCGCAAUGGACGAAAGUCUGACGGAGCAACGCCGCGUGAGUGAUGAAGGUUUUCGGAUCGUAAAGCUCUGUUGUUAGGGAAGAACAAGUGCGAGAGUAACUGCUCGCACCUUGACGGUACCUAACCAGAAAGCCACGGCUAACUACGUGCCAGCAG
This 444-nucleotide ribosomal RNA is filed under the name Bacillus pumilus. Its description in RNAcentral is "bacterial SSU rRNA". It matches the Rfam family "Bacterial small subunit ribosomal RNA", at positions 84 to 514 of the family's 1533-position model. Lineage: Bacteria; Bacillati; Bacillota; Bacilli; Caryophanales; Bacillaceae. The record is from RNAcentral.